UUAUAUUCCACAGCAAACGGUGCUAAGAUUAGCUUAAAAGGGAAUCCGGUGAGAUACCGGAACUGUCCCCGCAACUGUAAGUGUGACGAAAUGGGCAUACCACUGUACGGCUUCGUACGGGAAGGGCUCAAAGUAGGAGGAAGCACAAGUCAGGAGACCUGCCGAUGCUGGAUAUGUUUC
RNAcentral lists this non-coding RNA (180 nucleotides) under Bacillus sp. (in: firmicutes). Lineage: Bacteria; Bacillati; Bacillota; Bacilli; Caryophanales; Bacillaceae. The record is from RNAcentral. RNAcentral also lists the same sequence under 1 other name.